UGGAGAAGCCUGGAGACUGAAGUCCUCUCUUUAAUCCACAAAACACAUGCAGCCUUCCCAUAUUUCUCACUUCACAGCACCUCUUUUCCUCCCUUCCCUCACCAGGGAUGAAAGAAGGGCUCUGUCAUAUAGAAGAUGGUUCAGUCUUCAUGUUCAGUCAGUUUUUGGCUGUG
Unclassified non-coding RNA from Chelonoidis abingdonii (Abingdon island giant tortoise), 173 nucleotides. The record is from Ensembl. Lineage: Eukaryota; Metazoa; Chordata; Testudines; Testudinidae.